Molecule: long non-coding RNA, 1662 nt
Organism: Lepidothrix coronata (blue-crowned manakin)
Lineage: Eukaryota; Metazoa; Chordata; Aves; Passeriformes; Pipridae
Source: Ensembl
GCAGAUUUUUAUCAUCACUUUUAUAUAGAGGGAGAGACAUCUCCCUCUCAGUUCCUUGCAGGCUGGGUUUGGGGAGGGAGUGUACUUGCUUUUUCACACAGACUCCACAGGCUCGUUGCUGCUUGUGUAACUUACUUCCUCUGGAAGUAAAACAGUGUGUUCUGUUGGUUUAAGGAGCUUUUCAUAAGGCAAAUAAUAAGAAAAAAUAAGAAAGAAAAAAAGAAAAUAAAUUGAUUCUGUGCCAAUACAUUUUCCAGCUCCUGUACAGAAGGGGACUGAAACAGUUUAUAGUGAAAUCAGAAAAGCUAAUAAUGAUUCUAUGGAAAACAGGCAUUCUAGAAUAUCAGGGCAUCCUGAUGCUACUUAGAACAGUCAUCUCAAAGAUCAGCUGGGAGAAGAAAACAAGCCAAGAUGGAAGAUGUUGCAAAUGUUUCAAAGGCUCUGCAGCAGUUAUUUAUGAGUUUGCCAGACUCUUCUUUUCAAAGUUUAUUUCCUUAGCGGGAACAAUAGAGAUGUUCCUAAAGCAUUUAAUGGAAAAAAUUGAGAAUAAAAAUUCUCAUAGGAAAGUGGCUCUAGAAACCACUGACCCAGGUUCUCAUUUUUAUUUUCUCCUGCUAAUGCAAUUUUGCCUUUUUUUUUGCCUCCAAUUCAUCAUUCUCUGAGGAAACAAAAGGGGAAGUUAGAGCUGAGGAAGCACAUUUCUACAGUGCAGUGACUACUGGGAUGCCAGUAGGACAUAGAAAUAUCUAAGCUUGCUUUGAACUUGCUACCUUGGUUAUCAGUGACACUUCUGUGGCAGAGCAGAGCUCAGCACAGCUUGGCCAGCCAUGGAUGUACUUUCUGAUCCUGCAGCUUGUGCUGAACUCCCUGUGCUGCAGCAGCUGGACUGCUACCAGGCUUGGAGCCAGCUCACUUAUAGCCCUGGGGAUGCUUCACUGCAGGGAGGGCCUGACAGAAGAGAGAACUCUGGGUGCUCGAAAAACUUAAAUAACUGUUGGGAGAUUCAGACUUUACCAAGUGCUUCUGUCAGGAGGGGCACAAAUAGUCUUUAUUCUUUGCUAAACUGCUUUUCCCCUUUAAAAGGUCUGGUGCUUGUUGGUUAGUUUGGUGUGAUGGUUCUUCAAGAAAUGAUUGUCCAUCACAGUUGUUUUGGAUGAUUCUAUGAUAGGUCUUCAGGGAGUGGAUAUACUGCACCCAGGUCAGUGAGUUUAUACCUGAAAAUCCUGUUAUGUAUAAUCCUUAUUCCUUUGAUUUUAGGAGCGAUCUGAAGUCAUACUUGUGCCCAGUUUCUCCAGUAUGGAACUCCAUACCUAACCUUUUUCUGUAUAGCAUGAUAAACCACUAACAUGGAUCCAGUCUGGACCUGGAUCUAAUCUCUGCAGCCCAUGUUUAUCUCAGCUGCAUUAGUUUAAAAAAAGAACAUAAAACAAACCAGAAAAAAUGCUGUCCCUAGCCCCGUAACCAGCUGGCCUUUGGCACUGCAAUUGCUCUCCUUUUCUUACUGCAGAUUAAAUUACUACAAGAUCUGGGCCACAGGUAAGAAAGUUCUCAUUUUCAUUAGAAAAUAGUGAAAGAGAGGCCGUGGAUUGUGUAUACAUACAUAGUUACUGCUAUAAGCAUUGCAUCAAGGGUGCAAAACAACCACAAAACACAAAAGGGUUU